RNAcentral lists this ribosomal RNA (253 nucleotides) under uncultured bacterium. Its description in RNAcentral is "partial 16S ribosomal RNA". It matches the Rfam family "Bacterial small subunit ribosomal RNA", at positions 524 to 776 of the family's 1533-position model. The record is from RNAcentral.
UACGGGGGGGGCAAGCGUUGUUCGGAAUUACUGGGCGUAAAGGGCUCGUAGGUGGCCAACUAAGUCGGACGUGAAAUCCCUCGGCUUAACCGGGGAACUGCGUCCGAUACUGGUUGGCUUGAGUCUGGGAGAGGGAUGCGGAAUUCCAGGUGUAGCGGUGAAAUGCGUAGAUAUCUGGAGGAACACCGGUGGCGAAGGCGGCAUCCUGGACCAAUACUGACGCUGAGGAGCGAAAGCCAGGGGAGCAAACGGG